RNAcentral lists this unclassified non-coding RNA (176 nucleotides) under uncultured fungus. Its description in RNAcentral is "sequence contains ITS1". The record is from RNAcentral. Lineage: Eukaryota; Fungi.
UUGACUUAUUACAGUACAGUAAACUCAGAGAGGCCAGUGUUUAAAAAACAAGAGUUUAGUGGUCUCCGGCGGGCCUGUCAGGGCGCCGCCGAAGCAACUGUUUAGGGGUAGGUUCACAAUGGUUUUGGGAGUUUUGCAACUCUGUAAUGAUCCCUCCGCUGGUUCACCAACGGAGA